GGUUGUGGCUCAGUAGUAGAGCGCUCACCUAGCACAUGUGAGGCCCUGGGUUCGAUCCUCAGAACCA
Molecule: transfer RNA, 67 nt
Filed under: Marmota monax (woodchuck)
Lineage: Eukaryota; Metazoa; Chordata; Mammalia; Rodentia; Sciuridae
Rfam family: tRNA
About the family: Transfer RNA (tRNA) molecules are approximately 80 nucleotides in length. Their secondary structure includes four short double-helical elements and three loops (D, anti-codon, and T loops). Further hydrogen bonds mediate the characteristic L-shaped molecular structure. tRNAs have two regions of fundamental functional importance: the anti-codon, which is responsible for specific mRNA codon recognition, and the 3' end, to which the tRNAs corresponding amino acid is attached (by aminoacyl-tRNA synthetases). tRNAs cope with the degeneracy of the genetic code in two manners: having more than one tRNA (with a specific anti-codon) for a particular amino acid; and 'wobble' base-pairing, i.e. permitting non-standard base-pairing at the 3rd anti-codon position.
Source: Rfam by way of RNAcentral